Molecule: long non-coding RNA, 232 nt
Filed under: Ananas comosus (pineapple)
Lineage: Eukaryota; Viridiplantae; Streptophyta; Magnoliopsida; Poales; Bromeliaceae
Description: long non-coding RNA (ACOM_LNC019216)
Source: RNAcentral
AACCAAGCUUAUUAUUAUUAUUCAAUAACCAAUCUACUACCAUGUUACUGACCGUCCCUAGAGCAAGUGGCAAAGGGCGGGCUUGGUAGUUGGUAUCCGAGACCUAAGUUCGAAUCCUAGUUGAUUCACAUUUUCAGCUAAGUUUAUUUCUAAAUGAAAUAAACGAAGCGGGUAGCGUGUUACCUAUCUCUCAAAAAAUCUACUGCCAUGUUUGACGUCCUUAAUUAGCCCC